This is a non-coding RNA of Oryzias latipes (Japanese medaka), 323 nucleotides long. NCBI's taxonomy places the organism in Eukaryota, Metazoa, Chordata, Actinopteri, Beloniformes, Adrianichthyidae. The record is from RefSeq and is a predicted model, not a curated record.
AUGCUACAUUCCUGAGACAAGCCAAAGAGAAGUUUGACAUCCCUCAUGAGACAAAUUUAUAUGUUGUGGAUAAAACUGGGACAGAGAUUGACGAGGACGUGUUUAGUGAUCUUCUGGACGAAAAGUCCGACAUUGUCUGGAACCUUGUUGAUGCCUCUUCUGUUCAGGAAUCUCCAGUGCAGUCUUCAUGCACAGAUACCCUGUCUCUCUCAUCAUCAAUUUCAUCAGACAAUGAGACUUCCUUCAUGUCCCCUAAAAGAAGUUACACUGCAGACCCUAAGUCCCAAAGAAAAGAAUCAAGUGAUGAAAGUUCUUCAGAUGCA